UACGUAGGGGGCAAGCGUUUGUCCGGAUUUAUUGGGCGUAAAGAGCUCGUAGGUGGUUCGGUAAGUCGGAUGUGAAAUCUCCAGGCUCAACUUGGAGCGGUCAUUCGAUACUGCCGUGACUAGAGUUCGGUAGGGGAGUGUGGAAUUCCUGGUGGAGCGGUGAAAUGCGCAGAUAUCAGGAAGAACACCCGUGGCGAAGGCGGCUCUCUGGAACGCAACUGACGCUGAGACGCGAAAGCGUGGGGAGCAAACAGG
Molecule: ribosomal RNA, 255 nt
Filed under: uncultured bacterium
Lineage: Bacteria
Description: partial 16S ribosomal RNA
Rfam family: Bacterial small subunit ribosomal RNA
Source: RNAcentral